UUGAAAGGGGUGCCUACUUUUAUGGCUGAGAUCAUACCCUAUGAACCUGUUCGGGUAAUGCUGGCGUAGGAAUUGUUCAU
RNAcentral lists this non-coding RNA (80 nucleotides) under uncultured Alistipes sp. The record is from RNAcentral. Lineage: Bacteria; Pseudomonadati; Bacteroidota; Bacteroidia; Bacteroidales; Rikenellaceae.